RNAcentral lists this small RNA (1586 nucleotides) under Pongo abelii (Sumatran orangutan). RNAcentral's name for it is "processed transcript". The record is from RNAcentral. Lineage: Eukaryota; Metazoa; Chordata; Mammalia; Primates; Hominidae.
UUGCUGCUGCUGCUGCUGCUGCUGCUGCUGCUGCUGUUGCUGCUGCUGCUACUGCUGCUGCUGCUACUGCUGCUGCUUGGCCCUGGCUGGAGACAUCUCACUACACCCAGGAGCAGCCACUUCCCCAGCUCUCCUCCUCCUCCUUCGCCUCCUCCUCCUCCACUCCCCCCCUUUAUUACCCUUUGUGUCAUCCUCCACAGCUCCAGGGAAGGCACUCAAAAGUGGGGGGCAGGAAAGGGUUUUGCUUUGUCAUCCUGGCCAGAGUGCAGUGGCACAAUCACAGCUCACUGCAACCUCGACCUCCUGGGCUCAAGUGAUUCUCCCACCUCAGCCUGCUGAGUAGCUGGGACUACAGCCCACAUAUGACAGUGGACAUAGAGGACAACGCAGAUAUAGAACAUUUCUUUUAUCACAAUGGAGUCUCGCUCUUGUCAUCUAGGCUAGAGUGCAGUGUCACAAUCUCAGCUCACUGCAGCCUCUGCCUCCUGGGUUCAAGCAAUCCUCCUGCCUCAGCCUCCCGAGUAGCUGGGAUUACAGGCGCCCACCACCAUGCCCAGCUAAUUUUUGUAUUUUUAGUAGAGACAGAGUUUCACCAUGUUGGCCAGGCUGGUUUCGAACUCCUGGCCUCAGGACCCACCUGCCUUGGCCUCCGAAAGUGCUGGGAUUACAGGUGUGAGCCACCACACCCAGCCAAAUUAUACCAAGAUUUAACAAAAUAACAGACAUAUAUUAAAAUAUUGAGAAUCAUUUUCUUCAAAGUCAAAAAUCACUAAUACGGGCCUUUUUCUUUCUCUCUCUCUGUGUUUAGAUAUAUCUGUAUAUAUGUGUGUGUGUGUGUGUAUGUGUGUGUGUAGAUAUGGGUUUAUGUAUAUGUAAAUGCGUGAAUAUUUAGCAGGAAGCCACGAUUAUUGAGGCAGGUAUUGUGGUAAGUCACUUUAUAUUCUCAUUUAAUCCUUCUAAUAAUCUAGUGAAAUAAUUACUAUUUUUAUCCCCAUUUUUGAGAUGAGAAAAGUGACUUCUAGAUACAGGAAGCAACUUGUGCAGGAUUACACAGUCAUUAAAUUAUAGACUUUGGAACUUAGAUAAGAUCUCUCAGUGCUUUAUGAUAUUGUAGCUAAUAGAUAUGCUCAAUAUGUUUUUACCUGUCGUAGAAUCCAGAUCAUUAAAAGAAGAGAUAUUUGCUCUCUGAUAAUUCAGCAUUACAUUUAUCUUCUUAAGUUUUCUCUGGCUUUCCUCUGUCUUUAGAAUGCAUUCUAUGUCUAAACUUUUGAAAAACAAAGCCCAUUGCUUUUGUCCUACAAAUAUUUCAUAGAGGAUGCUACGUUGGCUGUCCCUCUUUUUAAGUUGAAAAUAGAAUAAGAAUUUAACUUCACAUAAGAACAUAAGAAUAAGAAUGCUCUAGGUUUUGUAAUUGUUAAGUUUAGUUUUUAAAAAAUGUUCAUUGUGAAUCAUAAUUCUAAAUUUGAAAGAUCAUGUGAAGAAAAUGUUAAAAGCUUAUUGGACAGUACAUUUAAAAAGGUCUUGCAUGAUCAGACAUUUUCAUCCUCUAGAGGAAAUCAUAGCUCAAUAUACAUAUCUGUACUUCU